Molecule: transfer RNA, 74 nt
Organism: Pseudobutyrivibrio xylanivorans DSM 14809
Lineage: Bacteria; Bacillati; Bacillota; Clostridia; Lachnospirales; Lachnospiraceae
Rfam family: tRNA
About the family: Transfer RNA (tRNA) molecules are approximately 80 nucleotides in length. Their secondary structure includes four short double-helical elements and three loops (D, anti-codon, and T loops). Further hydrogen bonds mediate the characteristic L-shaped molecular structure. tRNAs have two regions of fundamental functional importance: the anti-codon, which is responsible for specific mRNA codon recognition, and the 3' end, to which the tRNAs corresponding amino acid is attached (by aminoacyl-tRNA synthetases). tRNAs cope with the degeneracy of the genetic code in two manners: having more than one tRNA (with a specific anti-codon) for a particular amino acid; and 'wobble' base-pairing, i.e. permitting non-standard base-pairing at the 3rd anti-codon position.
Source: Rfam
GUUUGAGUAGCUCAGCUGGAUAGAGCGUCCGCCUCCUAAGCGGAAGGUCGUGGGUUCGAAUCCCAUCUCGAACA